Molecule: ribosomal RNA, 460 nt
Filed under: uncultured bacterium
Lineage: Bacteria
Description: partial 16S ribosomal RNA
Rfam family: Bacterial small subunit ribosomal RNA
Source: RNAcentral
CCUACGGGAGGCAGCAGUGAGGAAUAUUGGUCAAUGGACGAGAGUCUGAACCAGCCAAGUAGCGUGAAGGAUGACUGCUCUAUGGGUUGUAAACUUCUUUUAUAUGGGAAUAAAAUGUUCCACGUGUGGGAUUUUGUAUGUACCAUAUGAAUACGGAUCGGCUAACUCCGUGCCAGCAGCCGGGGUAAUACGGAGGUUCCGACCGUUAUCCGGAUUUAUUGGGUUUAAAGGGAGCGUAGGUGGAUUGUUAAGUCAGUUGUGAAAGUUCCCGGCUCAACCGUAAAAUUGCAGUUGAAACUGGCAGUCUAGAGUACAGUAGAGGUGGGCGGAAUUCGUGGUGUAGCGGUGAAAUGCGUAGAUAUCACGAAGAACUCCGAUUGCGAAGGCGGCUCACUGGACUACAACUGACACUGAGGCUCGAAAGUGUGGGUAUCAAACAGGAUUAGAUACCCGUGUAGUC